RNAcentral lists this ribosomal RNA (1083 nucleotides) under uncultured organism. RNAcentral's name for it is "bacterial SSU rRNA". It matches the Rfam family "Bacterial small subunit ribosomal RNA", at positions 42 to 1118 of the family's 1533-position model. The record is from RNAcentral.
GCAGGCUUAACACAUGCAAGUCGACGGGUAACGACUCCGUCUUCGGAUGGAGGUCGACGACCGGCGCACGGGUGAGUAACGCGUAUGCAACCUACCUUUUACAGGAGGAUAGCCCAGAGAAAUUUGGAUUAAUACUCCAUAGUACUAAUGAAUCACCUGGUUUGUUAGUUAAAACUCCGGUGGUAAAAGAUGGGCAUGCGUGUCAUUAGCUAGUUGGUAAGGUAACGGCUUACCAAGGCGAAGAUGACUAGGGGUUCUGAGAGGAAGAUCCCCCACACUGGUACUGAGACACGGACCAGACUCCUACGGGAGGCAGCAGUGAGGAAUAUUGGUCAAUGGGUGAGAGCCUGGACCAGCCAUGCCGCGUGAAGGAAGACUGCCCUAUGGGUUGUAAACUUCUUUUCUGCAGGAAGAAAUCACUCUACGUGUAGGGUGUUGCCGGUACUGCAGGAAUAAGCAUCGGCUAACUCCGUGCCAGCAGCCGCGGUAAUACGGAGGAUGCAAGCGUUAUCCGGAUUUAUUGGGUUUAAAGGGUGCGUAGGCGGGCUUGUAAGUCAGUGGUGAAAUGCUGUGGCUUAACCAUAGAAUUGCCAUUGAAACUGCAAGUCUUGAGUACAGUUGAGGUGGGCGGAAUGAGUAAUGUAGCGGUGAAAUGCAUAGAUAUUACUCAGAACUCCGAUUGCGUAGGCAGCUUGCUAAACUGUAACUGACGCUGAUGCACGAAAGCGUGGGGAGCGAACAGGAUUAGAUACCCUGGUAGUCCACGCUGUAAACGAUGAGCACUGGUUGUUGGCAAUACACCGUCAGCGACUGAGCGAAAGUAUUAAGUGCUCCACCUGGGGAGUACGUCGGCAACGAUGAAACUCAAAGGAAUUGACGGGGGCCCGCACAAGCGGAGGAACAUGUGGUUUAAUUCGAUGAUACGCGAGGAACCUUACCUGGGCUUGACAUGUUGGUAGUAGUGAAGCGAAAGCGGAUCGACCCUUCGGGGAGCCAUCACAGGUGCUGCAUGGCUGUCGUCAGCUCGUGUCGUGAGAUGUUGGGUUAAGUCCCGCAACGAGCGCAACCCUUGUCGUUAGUUAC